CCCUCAGUGAUCCCUUGGCUUGUCUUUCUAAAUAUGACUAUAAUAAAUAUAAAUGGCAUCGGACCAUCAGGGGUCAGGUGCCACGUGAUCUCCCCACGAAAGCCACUUG
Molecule: non-coding RNA, 109 nt
Organism: Pteropus vampyrus (large flying fox)
Lineage: Eukaryota; Metazoa; Chordata; Mammalia; Chiroptera; Pteropodidae
Source: Rfam